GAUGAACGCUAGCUACAGGCUUAACACAUGCAAGUCGAGGGGCAUCAGGCAAGUGGCUUGCCACUUGUGCUGGCGACCGGCGCACGGGUGAGUAACGCGUACCGGACCUGCCCCGCGCUCCGGGAUAGUCUUGCGAAAGCAAGUUUAAUACCGGAUGCCGCCGCACGGCCGCAUGGCUGUACGGCGAAAGAUUUAUCGGCGCGGGAUGGCGGUGCGUCCCAUUAGGCAGUUGGCGGGGUAACGGCCCACCAAACCGACGAUGGGUAGGGGUUCUGAGAGGAAGGUCCCCCACAUUGGAACUGAGACACGGUCCAAACUCCUACGGGAGGCAGCAGUGAGGAAUAUUGGUCAAUGGGCGGAAGCCUGAACCAGCCAAGUAGCGUGCAGGAUGAAGGCCCUUAGGGUUGUAAACUGCUUUGGUGCGGGAGUAAAGUGGCGCACGUGUUGCGCUAUUGCAAGUACCGCAAGAACAAGGACCGGCUAAUUCCGUGCCAGCAGCCGCGGUAAUACGGAAGGUCCGGGCGUUAUCCGGAAUCAUUGGGUUUAAAGGGAGCGCAGGCGGGAGAUUAGGCCGGCCGUGAAAUGUCCUGGCUCAACCAGGUCACUGCGGUCGGAACCGGUUUUCUUGAGUGCACGCAGGGGUGUUGGAAUUCAUGGUGUAGCGGUGAAAUGCUUAGAUAUCAUGAAGAACUCCGAUCGCGAAGGCAUAUGCCCGGAGUGCAACUGACGCUGAGGCUCGAAAGCGCGGGUAUCGAACAGGAUUAGAUACCCUGGUAGUCCGCGCCGUAAACGAUGGAUACCCGCGGUGCGUCUGUAGAGGUGUGCCGCCAAGCGAAAGCGUUAAGUAUCCCACCUGGGGAGUACGCCGGCAACGGUGAAACUCAAAGGAAUUGACGGGGGCCCGCACAAGCGGAGGAACAUGUGGUUUAAUUCGAUGAUACGCGAGGAACCUUACCCGGGCUCGAACCUGGAAGGGCGCCCUUUGGAGACAGAGGGUUUCCGCAAGGACUUUCCAGGAGGUGCUGCAUGGUUGUCGUCAGCUCGUGCCGUGAGGUGUCGGCUUAAGUGCCAUAACGAGCGCAACCCUCUCCCGCGUUUGCCAUCGGUUCGGCCGGGAACGCCGCGGGUACUGCCGCCGCAAGGUGCGAGGAAGGAGGGGAUGACGUCAAAUCAGCACGGCCCUUACGUCCGGGGCUACACACGUGUUACAAUGGCGGUUACAGGGGGAAGCCAGCAGGCGACUGCGCGCGGAUCCCCAAAGGCCGCCCCAGUUCGGACUGGAGUCUGCAACCCGACUCCACGAAGCCGGAUUCGCUAGUAAUCGCGCAUCAGCCAUGGCGCGGUGAAUACGUUCCCGGGCCUUGUACACACCGCCCGUCAAGCCAUGAAAGCCGGUGGUGCCUGAAGGCCGUGACCGCGAGGGUCGGCCUAGGGUAAACCCGGUGAUUGGGGCU
RNAcentral lists this ribosomal RNA (1454 nucleotides) under uncultured Prevotellaceae bacterium. RNAcentral describes it as "bacterial SSU rRNA". It matches the Rfam family "Bacterial small subunit ribosomal RNA". Lineage: Bacteria; Pseudomonadati; Bacteroidota; Bacteroidia; Bacteroidales; Prevotellaceae. The record is from RNAcentral.